UUAAGCGACUAAGCGUACACGGUGGAUGCCCUGGCAGUCAGAGGCGAUGAAGGACGUGCUAAUCUGCGAAAAGCGUCGGUAAGGUGAUAUGAACCGUUAUAGCCGGCGAUGUCCGAAUGGGGAAACCCAGUGCAAUUCGUUGCACUAUCGUUAACUGAAUACAUAGGUUAACGAGGCGAACCGGGGGAACUGAAACAUCUAAGUACCCCGAGGAAAAGAAAUCAACCGAGAUUCCCCCAGUAGCGGCGAGCGAACGGGGAGCAGCCCGGAGUCUGAAUCAGCUUGUGUGUUAGUGGAAGCGUCUGGAAAGUCGCAGGGUACAGGGUGAUACUCCCGUACACUAAAACGCACAGGUUGUGAACUCGAAGAGUAGGGCGGGACACGUGGUAUCCUGUCUGAAUAUGGGGGGACCAUCCUCCAAGGCUAAAUACUCCUGACUGACCGAUAGUGAACCAGUACCGUGAGGGAAAGGCGAAAAGAACCCCGGCGAGGGGAGUGAAAAAGAACCUGAAACCGUGUACGUACAAGCAGUAGGAGCCCACUAGUUGGGUGACUGCGUACCUUUUGUAUAAUGGGUCAGCGACUUAUAUUCUGUAGCAAGGUUAACCGUAUAGGGGAGCCGCAGGGAAACCGAGUCUUAACUGGGCGUUAAGUUGCAGGGUAUAGACCCGAAACCCGGUGAUCUAGCCAUGGGCAGGUUGAAGGUUGGGUAACACUAACUGGAGGACCGAACCGACUAAUGUUGAAAAAUUAGCGGAUGACUUGUGGCUGGGGGUGAAAGGCCAAUCAAACCGGGAGAUAGCUGGUUCUCCCCGAAAGCUAUUUAGGUAGCGCCUCGUGAACUCAUCUUCGGGGGUAGAGCACUGUUUCGGCUAGGGGGUCAUCCCGACUUACCAACCCGAUGCAAACUACGAAUACCGAAGAAUGUUAUCACGGGAGACACACGGCGGGUGCUAACGUCCGUCGUGAAGAGGGAAACAACCCAGACCGCCAGCUAAGGUCCCAAAGUCAUGGUUAAGUGGGAAACGAUGUGGGAAGGCCCAGACAGCCAGGAUGUUGGCUUAGAAGCAGCCAUCAUUUAAAGAAAGCGUAAUAGCUCACUGGUCGAGUCGGCCUGCGCGGAAGAUGUAACGGGGCUAAACCAUGCACCGAAGCUGCGGCAGCGACGCUUAUGCGUUGUUGGGUAGGGGAGCGUUCUGUAAGCCGUUGAAGGUGGCCUGUGAGGGUUGCUGGAGGUAUCAGAAGUGCGAAUGCUGACAUAAGUAACGAUAAUGCGGGUGAAAAACCCGCACGCCGGAAGACCAAGGGUUCCUGUCCAACGUUAAUCGGGGCAGGGUGAGUCGACCCCUAAGGCGAGGCCGAAAGGCGUAGUCGAUGGGAAACAGGUUAAUAUUCCUGUACUCGGUGUUACUGCGAAGGGGGGACGGAGAAGGCUAUGUUGGCCGGGCGACGGUUGUCCCGGUUUAAGCAUGUAGGCGGAUGUUCCAGGUAAAUCCGGAACGUUACUAACGCUGAGGUGUGAUGACGAGGCACUACGGUGCUGAAGUGACAAAUGCCCUGCUUCCAGGAAAAGCCUCUAAGCAUCAGGUAACAUCAAAUCGUACCCCAAACCGACACAGGUGGUCAGGUAGAGAAUACCAAGGCGCUUGAGAGAACUCGGGUGAAGGAACUAGGCAAAAUGGUGCCGUAACUUCGGGAGAAGGCACGCUGAUGGUAGGUGAAGUGACUUGCUCAUGGAGCUGAAAUCAGUCGAAGAUACCAGCUGGCUGCAACUGUUUAUUAAAAACACAGCACUGUGCAAACACGAAAGUGGACGUAUACGGUGUGACGCCUGCCCGGUGCCGGAAGGUUAAUUGAUGGGGUUAUCCGUAAGGAGAAGCUCUUGAUCGAAGCCCCGGUAAACGGCGGCCGUAACUAUAACGGUCCUAAGGUAGCGAAAUUCCUUGUCGGGUAAGUUCCGACCUGCACGAAUGGCGUAAUGAUGGCCAGGCUGUCUCCACCCGAGACUCAGUGAAAUUGAACUCGCUGUGAAGAUGCAGUGUACCCGCGGCAAGACGGAAAGACCCCGUGAACCUUUACUAUAGCUUGACACUGAACACUGGUCCUUGAUGUGUAGGAUAGGUGGGAGGCUUUGAAGUGUGGACGCCAGUCUGCAUGGAGCCAUCCUUGAAAUACCACCCUUUAAUGGCUGGUGUUCUAACGUGGGCCCCUAAUCGGGGUUGCGGACAGUGUCUGGUGGGUAGUUUGACUGGGGCGGUCUCCUCCUAAAGAGUAACGGAGGAGCACGAAGGUCAGCUAAUCCUGGUCGGACAUCAGGAGGUUAGUGCAAUGGCAUAAGCUGGCUUGACUGCGAGCGUGACGGCGCGAGCAGGUGCGAAAGCAGGUCAUAGUGAUCCGGUGGUUCUGAAUGGAAGGGCCAUCGCUCAACGGAUAAAAGGUACUCCGGGGAUAACAGGCUGAUACCGCCCAAGAGUUCAUAUCGACGGCGGUGUUUGGCACCUCGAUGUCGGCUCAUCACAUCCUGGGGCUGAAGUAGGUCCCAAGGGUAUGGCUGUUCGCCAUUUAAAGUGGUACGCGAGCUGGGUUUAGAACGUCGUGAGACAGUUCGGUCCCUAUCUGCCGUGGGCGCUGGAGAAUUGAGGGGGGCUGCUCCUAGUACGAGAGGACCGGAGUGGACGCAUCACUGGUGUUCGGGUUGUCAUGCCAAUGGCAUUGCCCGGUAGCUAAAUGCGGAAGAGAUAAGUGCUGAAAGCAUCUAAGCACGAAACUUGCCCCGAGAUGAGUUCUCCCUGACUCCUUGAGAGUCCUGAAGGAACGUUGAAGACGACGACGUUGAUAGGCCGGGUGUGUAAGCGCAGCGAUGCGUUGAGCUAACCGGUACUAAUGAACCGUGAGGCUUAACCU
RNAcentral lists this ribosomal RNA (2904 nucleotides) under Klebsiella michiganensis. RNAcentral describes it as "23S ribosomal RNA". It matches the Rfam family "Bacterial large subunit ribosomal RNA". Lineage: Bacteria; Pseudomonadati; Pseudomonadota; Gammaproteobacteria; Enterobacterales; Enterobacteriaceae. The record is from RNAcentral.